This is a long non-coding RNA of Astatotilapia calliptera (eastern happy), 334 nucleotides long. The record is from Ensembl. Lineage: Eukaryota; Metazoa; Chordata; Actinopteri; Cichliformes; Cichlidae.
AGGUGCAAGAUAUCUGCAAGCGAAGAGACUAGAACACCCAAGGCCGCUUUCCUUUUAUGGAGUUGUUUUUCUGCUAAUGCAGCACUGUCCUCACAACCCCCUCCUGUGUCCGGUUGUCUUCAUUCUCCGCCAGCCUGGAUCCGCUCCAGGCCAAACUGGAACGGGUGGGAGGACAUCGGCCGUGGUCUGAGUGAACGGAGUUUGGACAAAAGCUGUGUGCACACAAAAACAAGGUAAGCAGACCUUUUAUUUCUGCUAUAUUGAACAUUAUAAAAAUACUUAGUGUCCAAACUCCUAGUAAUUCAUAACCAAAAUUGUCUGGCUUACUUAAGGC